GAUGAACGCUGGCGGCGUGCCUAAUACAUGCAAGUCGAGCGAACAGACGAGGAGCUUGCUCCUCUGACGUUAGCGGCGGACGGGUGAGUAACACGUGGAUAACCUACCUAUAAGACUGGGAUAACUUCGGGAAACCGGAGCUAAUACCGGAUAAUAUAUUGAACCGCAUGGUUCAAUAGUGAAAGACGGUUUUGCUGUCACUUAUAGAUGGAUCUGCGCCGCAUUAGCUAGUUGGUAAGGUAACGGCUUACCAAGGCAACGAUGCGUAGCCGACCUGAGAGGGUGAUCGGCCACACUGGAACUGAGACACGGUCCAGGCUCCUACGGGAGGCAGCAGUAGGGAAUCGUCCGCAAUGGGCGAAAGCCUGACGGAGCAACGCCGCGUGAGUGAUGAAGGUCUUCGGAUCGUAAAACUCUGUUAUUAGGGAAGAACAAAUGUGUAAGUAACUAUGCACGUCUUGACGGUACCUAAUCAGAAAGCCACGGCUAACUACGUG
Molecule: ribosomal RNA, 497 nt
Filed under: uncultured bacterium
Lineage: Bacteria
Description: partial 16S ribosomal RNA
Rfam family: Bacterial small subunit ribosomal RNA
Source: RNAcentral